GAUGAACGCUGGCGGCGUGCCUAAUACAUGCAAGUCGAGCGAACAGAUGAGGAGCUUGCUCCUCUGACGUUAGCGGCGGACGGGUGAGUAACACGUGGAUAACCUACCUAUAAGACUGGGAUAACUUCGGGAAACCGGAGCUAAUACCGGAUAAUAUAUUGAACCGCAUGGUUCAAUAGUGAAAGACGGUUUUGCUGUCACUUAUAGAUGGAUCCGCGCCGCAUUAGCUAGUUGGUAAGGUAACGGCUUACCAAGGCAACGAUGCGUAGCCGACCUGAGAGGGUAAUCGGACACGCUGGAACGGAGACACGGUCCAGACUCCUACGGGAGGCAGCAGUAGGGAAUCUUCCGCAAUGGGCGAAAGCGUGACGGGACAAAGCCGCGUGAGUGAUGAAGGUCUUCGGAUCGUAAAACUCUGUUAUUAGGGGAGAACAAAUGUGUAAGUAACUAUGCACGUCUUGACGGUACCUAAUCAGAAAGCCACGGCUAACUACGUG
RNAcentral lists this ribosomal RNA (497 nucleotides) under uncultured bacterium. Its description in RNAcentral is "partial 16S ribosomal RNA". It matches the Rfam family "Bacterial small subunit ribosomal RNA", at positions 28 to 507 of the family's 1533-position model. The record is from RNAcentral.